RNAcentral lists this ribosomal RNA (443 nucleotides) under uncultured Bacteroidota bacterium. RNAcentral describes it as "bacterial SSU rRNA". It matches the Rfam family "Bacterial small subunit ribosomal RNA", at positions 917 to 1359 of the family's 1533-position model. Lineage: Bacteria; Pseudomonadati; Bacteroidota. The record is from RNAcentral.
GGGCCCGCACAAGCGGAGGAACAUGUGGUUUAAUUCGAUGAUACGCGAGGAACCUUACCUGGGAAUGAACGCAUGUUGCAUAGUUUAGAGAUAAACUUUUCUUACGGGACUACAUGCGAGGUGCUGCAUGGUUGUCGUCCAGCUCGUGCCGUGAGGUGUCGGCUUAAGUGCCAUAACGAGCGCAACCCUCAUUGCCAGUUACCAACGGGUCAAGCCGGGGACUCUGGCGAAACUGCCGGCGUAAGCUGAGAGGAAGGUGGGGAUGACGUCAAAUCAGCACGGCCCUUAUAUCCAGGGCUACACACGUGUUACAAUGGUCGGUACAAAGGGCAGCUACCUGGUGACAGGAUGCUAAUCUCGAAAGCCGAUCUCAGUUCGGAUUGGAGUCUGCAACCCGACUCCAUGAAGUUGGAUUCGCUAGUAAUCGCGCAUCAGCCAUGGCG